CACGCUGUAAACGAUGAUCACUAGCUGUAGGCGAUACACUGUCUGUGGCUAAGCGAAAGCGAUAAGUGAUCCACCUGGGGAGUACGUCCGCAAGGAUGAAACUCAAAGGAAUUGACGGGGGCCCGCACAAGCGGAGGAGCAUGUGGUUUAAUUCGAUGAUACGCGAGGAACCUUACCUGGGCUUGAACGUAUAUUGCAUGAUUGUGAAAGCGAUCUUUCUAGCGAUAGACUAUAUACGAGGUGC
Molecule: ribosomal RNA, 244 nt
Filed under: uncultured Bacteroidota bacterium
Lineage: Bacteria; Pseudomonadati; Bacteroidota
Description: uncultured Bacteroidetes bacterium partial 16S ribosomal RNA
Rfam family: Bacterial small subunit ribosomal RNA
Source: RNAcentral